RNAcentral lists this ribosomal RNA (347 nucleotides) under uncultured bacterium. RNAcentral's name for it is "partial 16S ribosomal RNA". It matches the Rfam family "Bacterial small subunit ribosomal RNA", at positions 338 to 682 of the family's 1533-position model. The record is from RNAcentral.
CCUACGGGUGGCAGCAGUGAGGAAUAUUGGUCAAUGGACGAGAGUCUGAACCAGCCAAGUAGCGUGAAGGAUGACGGCCCUAUGGGUUGUAAACUUCUUUUAUAGGGGAAUAAAAUGUUCCACGUGGGGGAGUUUGUAUGUACCAUAUGAAUAAGGAUCGGCUAACUCCGUGCCAGCAGCCGCGGUAAUACGGAGGAUCCGAGCGUUCUCCGGAGUUAUUGGGUUUAAAGGGAGCGUAGGUGGAUUGUUAAGGCAGUUGUGACAGUUUGCGGCUCAACCGUAAAAUUGCAGUUGAAACUGGCAGUCUUGAGUACAGUAGAGGUGGCCGGAAUUCGUUGUGUAGCGGU